This 167-nucleotide unclassified non-coding RNA is filed under the name uncultured Leotiomycetes. RNAcentral describes it as "sequence contains ITS1". Lineage: Eukaryota; Fungi; Ascomycota; Leotiomycetes. The record is from RNAcentral.
GAGAGAAUCAAGCUCCUAUGAGCAACUCUCCACCCUAUGUUUACAUUACUUUGUUGCUUUGGCAGGCCGUAGGAUGUUAGUCUUCCACUGGCUUCUGCUGGUGAGUGCCUGUCAGAGAAAAUUUAUACUCUAUUUAUUAGUGUUGUCUGAGUAUCAUAUAAUUAUUA